RNAcentral lists this transfer RNA (84 nucleotides) under Gemmatimonadales bacterium. RNAcentral describes it as "tRNA-Asp". It matches the Rfam family "tRNA". From Rfam's summary of the family: Transfer RNA (tRNA) molecules are approximately 80 nucleotides in length. Lineage: Bacteria; Pseudomonadati; Gemmatimonadota; Gemmatimonadia; Gemmatimonadales. The record is from RNAcentral.
GCCCGGGUGGUGGAAUCGGCAGACACGGCAACCUGUCAAGUUGCUGGCCGAAAGGCCGUGCGGGUUCGAAUCCCGCCCUGGGCA